CGUACGUAAUUACUCUUCAAAAUGGGGAAGGAUCGGACGAAAAUGUAAACAAACCGUAGAUGCAAUCUUUUGAAAGAAAAGCUCAGUCAUCUGAGAUGCAGUGUUGCAGCACUGAAAAGCAUUGGGUGCCCAUCAUAGAGUGUUUCUCUUUGCCUGCAAUCAGGAUACAUCAACUGACCUUUGAACUGUGUUUUCCAACUUGGGAUUCAAACACAUGCCCUCUUGGGUAGGAGAAAGUC
This is a long non-coding RNA of Mya arenaria, 239 nucleotides long. RefSeq lists it as uncharacterized. The transcript is spliced from 3 exons. NCBI's taxonomy places the organism in Eukaryota, Metazoa, Mollusca, Bivalvia, Myida, Myidae. The record is from RefSeq and is a predicted model, not a curated record.